GUCCGCACGGUAAACGAUGGAUGCCCGCUAUUCGGCCGAAUGGUUGAGUGGCCAAGCGAAAGCAUUAAGCAUCCCACCUGGGGAGUACGCCGGCAACGGUGAAACUCAAAGGAAUUGACGGGGGCCCGCACAAGCGGAGGAACAUGUGGUUUAAUUCGAUGAUACGCGAGGAACCUUACCCGGGCUUGAAUUGCAGAUGAACGAUCCAGAGAUGGUGAGGCCCUUCGGGGCAUCUGUGAAGGUGCUGCAUGGUUGUCGU
Molecule: ribosomal RNA, 259 nt
Filed under: uncultured bacterium
Lineage: Bacteria
Description: partial 16S ribosomal RNA
Rfam family: Bacterial small subunit ribosomal RNA
Source: RNAcentral